Molecule: ribosomal RNA, 459 nt
Filed under: uncultured bacterium
Lineage: Bacteria
Description: bacterial SSU rRNA
Rfam family: Bacterial small subunit ribosomal RNA
Source: RNAcentral
GAUGAAUGCUGGCGGCGUGCCUAAUACAUGCAAGUCGAGCGGUAAGGCCCUUCGGGUACACGAGCGGCGGACGGCUGAGUAACGCGUGGGAACAUGCCCCAAAGUGAGGGAUAACGCACCGAAAGGUGUGCUAAUACCGCAUAUGGUCUUCGGAUUAAAGGAUUUAUCCGCUUUGGGAGUGGCCCGCGUACGAUUAGAUUGUUGGUGAGGUAACGGCUCACCAAGUCGACGAUCGUUAACUGGUCUGAGAGGAUGAUCAGUCAGACUGGAACUGAGACACGGUCCAGACUCCUACGGGAGGCAGCAGUAAGGAAUCUUCCACAAUGGGCGAAAGCCUGAUGGAGCAACGCCGCGUGCAGGAUGAAGGCCCUCGGGUCGUAAACUGCUUUUAUGAGUGAAGAAUAUGACGGUAACUCAUGAAUAAGCACCGGCUAACUACGUGCCAGCAGCCGCGGUAAU